AUUGAACGCUGGCGGCAGGCCUAACACAUGCAAGUCGAACGAGUGGCGGACGGGUGAGUAAUGUCUGGGAAACUGCCUGAUGGAGGGGGAUAACUACUGGAAACGGUAGCUAAUACCGCAUACCAUCAGAUGUGCCCAGAUGGGAUUAGCUUGUUGGUGGGGUAACGGCUCACCAAGGCGACGAUCCCUAGCUGGUCUGAGAGGACGACCAUCUACACUGGAUCUGAGACACGGUCCAGACUCCUACGGGAGGCAGCAUUGGUAAUGAUUGCACAAUGGGCGCAAGCCUGCUGCCGCAGCGCCGCGUGUAUGAAGAAGGCCUCCGGGGUGUAAAGUACUUUCAGCGGGGAGGCGUUCCUCGCAGAAGAAUCACCGCCUAUCUCCGUGCCAGCAGCCGCGGUAAUA
Molecule: ribosomal RNA, 405 nt
Filed under: uncultured bacterium
Lineage: Bacteria
Description: partial 16S ribosomal RNA
Rfam family: Bacterial small subunit ribosomal RNA
Source: RNAcentral